RNAcentral lists this ribosomal RNA (165 nucleotides) under uncultured bacterium. Its description in RNAcentral is "partial 16S ribosomal RNA". It matches the Rfam family "Bacterial small subunit ribosomal RNA", at positions 1335 to 1500 of the family's 1533-position model. The record is from RNAcentral.
CUAGUAAUCGCGGAUCAGCAUGCCGCGGUGAAUACGUUCCCGGGCCUUGUACACACCGCCCGUCACACCAUGGGAGCCGGUAAUACCCGAAGUCAGUAGUCCAACCUCGUGAGGACGCUGCCGAAGGUAGGAUUGGCGACUGGGGUGAAGUCGUAACAAGGUAAC